Molecule: ribosomal RNA, 598 nt
Filed under: fungal endophyte
Lineage: Eukaryota; Fungi
Description: eukaryotic LSU rRNA
Rfam family: 5.8S ribosomal RNA (bases 176-329)
Source: RNAcentral
UUACUGAGUUUACGCUCUACAACCCUUUGUGAACAUACCUAUAACUGUUGCUUCGGCGGGUAGGGUCUCCGUGACCCUCCCGGCCUCCCGCCCCCGGGCGGGUCGGCGCCCGCCGGAGGAUAACCAAACUCUGAUUUAACGACGUUUCUUCUGAGUGGUACAAGCAAAUAAUCAAAACUUUUAACAACGGAUCUCUUGGUUCUGGCAUCGAUGAAGAACGCAGCGAAAUGCGAUAAGUAAUGUGAAUUGCAGAAUUCAGUGAAUCAUCGAAUCUUUGAACGCACAUUGCGCCCGCCAGCAUUCUGGCGGGCAUGCCUGUUCGAGCGUCAUUUCAACCCUCAAGCUCUGCUUGGUGUUGGGGCCCUACGGCUGACGUAGGCCCUCAAAGGUAGUGGCGGACCCUCCCGGAGCCUCCUUUGCGUAGUAACUUUACGUCUCGCACUGGGAUCCGGAGGGACUCUUGCCGUAAAACCCCCAAUUUUCCAAAGGUUGACCUCGGAUCAGGUAGGAAUACCCGCUGAACUUAAGCAUAUCAAUAAGCGGAGGAAAAGAAACCAACAGGGAUUGCCUCAGUAACGGCGAGUGAAGCGGCAACAGC